UCCAGCAGGAUGCAGCCAGCCCAAGGAGGUGCCCAAUGCCCACAUCCAGGGCUCCACACAACCAGCCUGGACCCCCCCCAUGCUCCAAUGCAUCCGAGACCCAAGUUUUCCACCCC
This is an RNA transcript of Calypte anna (Anna's hummingbird), 116 nucleotides long. RefSeq lists it as uncharacterized. The record is from RefSeq and is a predicted model, not a curated record. NCBI's taxonomy places the organism in Eukaryota, Metazoa, Chordata, Aves, Apodiformes, Trochilidae. The transcript is spliced from 3 exons.